This 465-nucleotide ribosomal RNA is filed under the name Vreelandella stevensii. RNAcentral describes it as "partial 16S ribosomal RNA". It matches the Rfam family "Bacterial small subunit ribosomal RNA", at positions 338 to 795 of the family's 1533-position model. The record is from RNAcentral. Lineage: Bacteria; Pseudomonadati; Pseudomonadota; Gammaproteobacteria; Oceanospirillales; Halomonadaceae.
CCUACGGGCGGCUGCAGGGGGGAAUAUUGGACAAUGGGGGGAACCCUGAUCCAGCCAUGCCGCGUGUGUGAAGAAGGCCCUCGGGUUGUAAAGCACUUUCAGUGAGGAAGAACGCCUGGUGGUUAAUACCCAUCAGGAAAGACAUCACUCACAGAAGAAGCACCGGCUAACUCCGUGCCAGCAGCCGCGGUAAUACGGAGGGUGCGAGCGUUGAUCGGAAUUACUGGGCGUAAAGCGCGCGUAGGUGGCUUGAUAAGCCGGUUGUGAAAGCCCCGGGCUCAACCUGGGACCGGCAUCCGGAACUGUCAAGCUAGAGUGCAGGAGAGGAAGGUAGAAUUCCCGGUGUAGCGGUGAACUGCGUAGAGAUCGGGAGGAAUACCAGUGGCGAAGGCGGCCUUCUGGACUGACACUGACACUGAGGUGCGAAAGCGUGGGUAGCAAACAGGAUUAGAUACCCCAGUAGUC